GAUGAAGAACGCAGCGAAAUGCGAUAAGUAAUGUGAAUUGCAGAAUUCAGUGAAUCAUCGAAUCUUUGAACGCACCUUGCGCUCCUUGGUAUUCCGAGGAGCAUGCCUGUUUGAGUGUCAUUAAUAUAUCAACCUUCUCUUUUUUGAGUUGUUUGGAUGUGGGGGUUUGCUGGCCUCUUAAAUGAUUCAGCUCCCCUGAAAUGCAUUAGCAGAACAACCUGUUCAUUGGCGUGAUAAUUAUCUAUGCUAUUGAAUGUGAGGGCAGUUCAGCUUUCUAACCGUCCUUGGACAAUUCAUCAUUAAUGUGACCUCAAAUCAGGUAGGACUGCCCGCUGAACUUAAGCAUAUCAAUAAGCGGAGGA
Molecule: unclassified non-coding RNA, 362 nt
Filed under: soil metagenome
Description: partial contains 5.8S ribosomal RNA, internal transcribed spacer 2, and large subunit ribosomal RNA
Rfam family: 5.8S ribosomal RNA (bases 1-120)
Source: RNAcentral